CAAGUUGUAUUGAUUAUCUCAUUUAAUCCUGACCACCCUGAGGAAGGGAGGUGUCCACACUGUAAAAUGAAGAAACAGAGGCUCAGAAAGUUAGUUGCCCUGACAUCACAGAGCUGGUAAGUGGAAGGGCCAGGAUUUAACCCUGGCAGCCCAGAGCGUGAUUUGUAUUCUGCAAUAACAUUUCCUUAAUUUCUGAGCCUUAGUUCCCCUUUUUACCUAUAGGUAUAGCACCAAGUCCCAUCACAGAGUAAAAACCUGUUAAACAUUAAUUUUCCUUGCCUUCCUCAGGUUUCCCUAAUGUGGGAAAGUCCUCACUGAUCAAUGGGCUGGUGGGGCGGAAAGUCGUGAGUGUCUCCAGAACCCCGGGCCAUACCCGAUACUUUCAGACCUACUUUCUUACCCCCUCUGUGAAGCUCUGUGACUGCCCAGGCCUCAUCUUCCCAUCUCUUCUGCCUAGGCAGUUGCAGGUAUGACAGGGAGGGUGGGUAAGGGAAACAGAGAAGGUGGGACAUUGAGGAAGGUACUGAGUGCUCAUUUCCCUCAGGUUCUGGCAGGGAUCUACCCUAUUGCCCAGAUCCAGGAGCCCUACACUGCUGUGGGCUACCUGGCCUCCCGAAUUCCCG
This 623-nucleotide small RNA is filed under the name Pongo abelii (Sumatran orangutan). Its description in RNAcentral is "retained intron". The record is from RNAcentral. Lineage: Eukaryota; Metazoa; Chordata; Mammalia; Primates; Hominidae.